RNAcentral lists this unclassified non-coding RNA (227 nucleotides) under uncultured Rhizoctonia. RNAcentral's name for it is "sequence contains ITS2". The record is from RNAcentral. Lineage: Eukaryota; Fungi; Basidiomycota.
AAAUUAUCAAAACAUCACCUUUUGUUAAUUCAAUUGGUUUUGGUUUGGACUUGGAGGCCUUGCGGAUUCACGUCUGCUCCUCUUAAAAAUAUUAGCUGGAUCUCAGUGAGCUCGGUUCCACUCGGCGUGAUAAGUAUCACUCGCUGAGGACACCCGUAAAAAAGGUGGCCGGGAUUGCAGACGAACCGCUUCUAAUAGUCUAUUGAAUUGGACAAACAUACUUUAUG